Molecule: ribosomal RNA, 253 nt
Filed under: uncultured bacterium
Lineage: Bacteria
Description: partial 16S ribosomal RNA
Rfam family: Bacterial small subunit ribosomal RNA
Source: RNAcentral
UACGUAGGGUGCAAGCGUUGUCCGGAUUUAUUGGGUUUAAAGGGUGCGUAGGCGGCCUUGUAAGUCAGUGGUGAAAUACUCCAGCUUAACUGGAGGGGUGCCAUUGAUACUGCAGGGCUUGAGUUAAGUUGAAGUUGGCGGAAUUGACGGUGUAGCGGUGAAAUGCUUAGAUAUCGUCAAGAACACCGAUAGUGAAGACAGCUAACUAAACUUUUACUGACGCUGAGGCGCGAAAGUGUGGGGAUCAAACAGG